Non-coding RNA from Pteropus alecto (black flying fox), 116 nucleotides. The record is from Rfam. Lineage: Eukaryota; Metazoa; Chordata; Mammalia; Chiroptera; Pteropodidae.
GUCUAUGGUCAUGCCACCCUGAACAAGCCAGAUAUCUAACCUUGGAAGCUAUGCAGGGUUGGGCCUGGUUAGUACUUGGAUGGGAGACCACCUAGAAAGACCAGGUACUGUAGGCA